GACGAACGCUGGCGGCGUGCUUAACACAUGCAAGUCGAACGGAAAGGCCCCAGCUUGCUGGGGUACUCGAGUGGCGAACGGGUGAGUAACACGUGGGUGAUCUGCCCUGCACUCUGGGAUAAGCCUGGGAAACUGGGUCUAAUACCGGAUAGGACCGUGCUUUAGUGUGUGCGGUGGAAAGUUUUUCGGUGCAGGAUGAGCCCGCGGCCUAUCAGCUUGUUGGUGGGGUAAUGGCCUACCAAGGCGGCGACGGGUAGCCGGCCUGAGAGGGUGUACGGCCACAUUGGGACUGAGACACGGCCCAGACUCCUACGGGAGGCAACAGUGGGGAAUAUUGCACAAUGGGCGCAAGCCUGAUGCAGCGACGCCGCGUGGGGGAUGACGGCCUUCGGGUUGUAAACCCCUUUCGGCAGGGACGAAGCUUUUGUGACGGUACCUGCAUAAGAAGCACCGGCUAACUACGU
RNAcentral lists this ribosomal RNA (464 nucleotides) under uncultured bacterium. RNAcentral describes it as "partial 16S ribosomal RNA". It matches the Rfam family "Bacterial small subunit ribosomal RNA", at positions 28 to 506 of the family's 1533-position model. The record is from RNAcentral.